GACGAACGCUGGCGGCGCGCCUAACACAUGCAAGUCGAACGGAGUCAAGAGGAGCUUGCUUUUCUUGACUUAGUGGCGAACGGGUGAGUAACGCGUGAGUAACCUGCCCUGGAGUGGGGGACAACAGGUGGAAACGACUUCUAAUACCGCAUAAGCCCACGGAUCCGCAUGGAUCUGCGGGAAAAGGAUUUAUUCGCUUCAGGAUGGACUCGCGUCCAAUUAGCUAGUGGGUGAUGUAACGGCCCACCAAGGCGACGAUUGGUAGCCGGACUGAGAGGUUGACCGACAAGAUCGGAAAUGAGACACGGACCACUACGCUACGGAGCGGAGCGGUGGGGGAUAUUGCAGAAGGGGGCAAAACUCAACAACGCGACGCCGCGGGGAGGAAGAAGCUUUUCGGAUUGCAAACUCCUGUGGUAAGGGACGAUAAUGACGGUACCUAACAAGAAAGCACCGGCUAACUACGUG
This 468-nucleotide ribosomal RNA is filed under the name uncultured bacterium. RNAcentral describes it as "partial 16S ribosomal RNA". It matches the Rfam family "Bacterial small subunit ribosomal RNA", at positions 28 to 507 of the family's 1533-position model. The record is from RNAcentral.